UACAGAGGGGGCAAGCGUUGUUCGGAAUUACUGGGCGUAAAGGGCGCGUAGGCGGCCUUCUAAGUCAGACGUGAAAUCCCUCGGCUCAACCGGGGAACUGCGUCUGAGACUGGAAGGCUUGAAUCCGGGAGAGGGAUGUGGAAUUCCAGGUGUAGCGGUGAAAUGCGUAGAUAUCAGGAGGAACACCGGUGGCGAAGGCGGGUCUCUGGGCCGAUACUGACGCUGAGGAGCGAAAGCGUGGGGAGCGAACAGG
Molecule: ribosomal RNA, 253 nt
Filed under: uncultured bacterium
Lineage: Bacteria
Description: partial 16S ribosomal RNA
Rfam family: Bacterial small subunit ribosomal RNA
Source: RNAcentral